RNAcentral lists this ribosomal RNA (515 nucleotides) under uncultured bacterium. RNAcentral describes it as "bacterial SSU rRNA". It matches the Rfam family "Bacterial small subunit ribosomal RNA", at positions 213 to 720 of the family's 1533-position model. The record is from RNAcentral.
UCGCGCUAUUGGAGCGGCCGAUGUCAGAUUAGCUAGUUGGUGGGGUAAAGGCCUACCAAGGCGACGAUCUGUAGCUGGUCUGAGAGGACGACCAGCCACACUGGGACUGAGACACGGCCCAGACUCCUACGGGAGGCAGCAGUGGGGAAUUUUGGACAAUGGGGGCAACCCUGAUCCAGCCAUGCCGCGUGCGGGAAGAAGGCCUUCGGGUUGUAAACCGCUUUUGUCGGGGAAGAAACGGUCUGCGCUAAUACCGCGGACUAAUGACGGUACCCGAAGAAUAAGCACCGGCUAACUACGUGCCAGCAGCCGCGGUAAUACGUAGGGUGCAAGCGUUAAUCGGAAUUACUGGGCGUAAAGCGUGCGCAGGCGGCUUUGCAAGACAGAUGUGAAAUCCCCGGGCUCAACCUGGGAACUGCAUUUGUGACUGCAUGGCUGGAGUGCGGCAGAGGGGGAUGGAAUUCCGCGUGUAGCAGUGAAAUGCGUAGAUAUGCGGAGGAACACCGAUGGCGAAG